GGAACUCUCUAAUAAAUUAUCGCUGCAUAAGCGGUUUAGCUGCUAAGAUUCUGUACAAUUAGUACAGAAGGACUCUUACAGACAUGCUGACCAGUGACCAUGUAGGCAAAUUCGAUUUCUUUUGAUCUUUGAAGAUUUCGAAAGUAAGAUUUUCCUCCGUUCGCAAAAAACCCGGACGAGGAUGUCAUCUCGAACCCGGUCGAGGAUGUCAUUUCGCCGGCGUGACGAUGGAUCGAUCGAGAAACCGACUCGAGAAAAACCCGCCUGAGGAUGUCGUCUCGCCGGCUCGAUGGCGGAUCGAUCGAGGAACCCGACCCGAGACCGACCGAUUGGGGUUUCAAGAGUGGUAACCAAAGACACCAGGGUCCAACCAGGUAUGUUCCUGAUACCGUUCGACCAUAGGAAAGUGAUGCAAGAACAAGAGGGCUAGUAGUGACACUGCUGACACCUUCCAGCACACCGCAGCAGUUAGCCAUGAUGACGACACCGCCGUCGCCAUCGACCCCUGUCUCUCCUCUGCUUCUCCUCCUCCUCCUCCUCCUCUUCGUCUUCGUCUCGUCCUCGCCCUCUUCCUCUGCUUCGCUCUACGACACCUUCCUCCACUGCCUCGUCAACCACACGCAGACACUUGAACAGCAGCAGCAGCCGCAAGAACCCUCCCGAAUCCUCCAUGCCCCGACCAACUCCUCGUACCCGACCCUCCUCGGGUCUCUCGUCCGCAACCGCCGCUUCAACACCUCGUCGACCCCGAAGCCCCAGCUCAUCCUCACCCCCUCCCGCCCGUCCCACGUCCAGUCUGCCGUCCUCUGCACCAGAGGAACCGGCACGCAGCUCCGAAUCCGGAGCGGCGGGCACGACUACGAAGGUACCUCCUACGUCUCCCGUGCCCCUUUCUUGAUUCUGGACAUGUUUAAUUUUCGGUCCGUCGAUGUCGAUGUCAAACAAGCGACCGCUUGGGUCGGAACCGGAGCGACUCUUGGGGAAUUGUACUAUAGGAUUUGGGAAAAGAGUGGUCUUUAUGGGUUUAAUGCUGGGGUUUGCCCAACUGUCGGUGUCGGUGGGCAUUUGAGCUGUGGCGGAUACGGGAACAUGUUGCGGAAAUUCGGGUUGGCGAGCGAUAGCGUGGUCGAUGCACAGAUUGUGGAUGUCGAGGGUAGAGUUCUUGAUAGGAGCUCAAUGGGCGAGGAUUUGUUUUGGGCUAUUAGAGGUGGAGGUGGGGCGAGUUUUGGAGUGAUAUUGGGUUAUAAAGUGAAGCUUGUCCCUGUUCCGAAAGUGGUUACUGUUUUUAGAGUGGGGAGGACUAUUGAGGAAAACGCGACUGAGCUCGUGUAUCAGUGGCAGAACAUUGCGCCGAGGACUGAUAAUGAUUUGUUCAUGAGGCUUUUGCUUCAGCCUGUCAGUUCCAAGAGACAAAAGGGAGCUAAAACAGUUAAUGCCUCUGUUUUGGCUCUGUUUCUUGGAAAUGCGGAUAGGCUGGUUUCAAUGGUUAAUGAGGAGUUUCCGGAGUUGGGUUUGAGGAAAGAGGAUUGUGCAGAGAUGAGCUGGAUUGAAUCGGUUCUCUGGUGGGGGAACUUCAAUAGAGGUACGGCUGUGGAAACUCUGCUAGACCGAAUGCCUAAGUCGGUGAGUUUCUUGAAGAGGAAAUCAGAUUAUGUGCAGGAACCGAUGUCAAGGGAGGAAUUGGAGUUGCUUUGGGAUAAGUUGAUUGAAUUGGGAAAGGUCGGAUUUGUGUUCAAUCCGUAUGGAGGAAAAAUGGGCAAAAUCCCUGUGUCAGACACUCCAUUUCCUCAUCGAGCUGGGAAUCUGUUUAAAAUACAGUACUCGAUCAGUUGGAGUGAAGAUGGAAUUGAAGCGGAGCAGAGUAAUCUGGCUAAAGCAAGAGAGCUUUACAAUUUUAUGACUCCGUAUGUGUCGAAAAACCCACGAAGGGCUUUUUUGAACUAUAGGGACCUCGAUAUUGGGAUAACUGAUAACGGCGAAAAUAGCUACGAGGAAGGCAGUGUGUAUGGGGUGAAGUACUUUGCUGAAAACUUUAAUAGAUUGGUGAAAGUUAAAACUGCAGUUGAUCAGCAGAACUUCUUCAGGAAUGAGCAAAGUAUUCCUGUUCUUCCAAGAUCCUCCUCGGCCAUGACUCAGUAUUCAGGGUCAACAGAGACAACUAGAAAAGUGAUGGUAUUGGUCAUCCUCGCCCUCUUUCUGAAGGAUCUCAUGACCAUCUAUUCCUAGAAAUGAGGGCCAGUGUCUUCUUGAGGAAUGUUAGACUUCCUCAGCUUCCUCUUCGGAAGGAAGAAGGAAAAUGAUAAUGCUCCAUCUUGUGCUGUCAGUUGGAAUUUAUUAGUUGGCUACUGAUACUUGUAAGGAAGAGGUAAUCACGUCUUCUUUCAUGUAAUGUCAAACUUGUCGUAAUUGGAUGACAUGCAUGAUUUGCCAAAACACAGGAUACAUCUGAUGCGAGACUUAGCUGCUCUUAUUGAUUGCUCAUGGUGGGGGAACUCUAGUAGAUUAGAAUCCCGGGAGGACAAGGAGGAAUUGAAGUCUGUGGCAGAAUGUUACUUAAUGGCAAUUGUUGAUUGCUGCCUGUGGAGGAACUCUGCAAGAUUGAUUCAUCAGGAGGACAAAGUAGGGUUUGAGGUUUGUGGCCAAAUAUUGCUCAGUAUGGUUUUCGUUAUAGAAAAGAGGGAGAAAGGAUUCUGUUAUCGAUCAUAAUUAAUCCAUUGUUGUGAGUUUACCUAAAGAAGAUACUAAGGAAUGAAAGGAAAGAAAGAUUCUGCAUCUAA
RNA transcript from Syzygium oleosum, 2777 nucleotides. It is a transcript of the gene named berberine bridge enzyme-like 21, with no coding region annotated. The record is from RefSeq and is a predicted model, not a curated record. NCBI's taxonomy places the organism in Eukaryota, Viridiplantae, Streptophyta, Magnoliopsida, Myrtales, Myrtaceae. The transcript has 3 exons.